This 472-nucleotide ribosomal RNA is filed under the name uncultured bacterium. RNAcentral describes it as "partial 16S ribosomal RNA". It matches the Rfam family "Bacterial small subunit ribosomal RNA", at positions 28 to 507 of the family's 1533-position model. The record is from RNAcentral.
GAUGAACGCUGGCGGCGUGCCUAAUACAUGCAAGUCGAGCGAACAGACGAGGAGCUUGCUCCUCUGACGUUAGCGGCGGACGGGUGAGUAACACGUGGAUAACCUACCUAUAAGACUGGGAUAACUUCGGGAAACCGGAGCUAAUACCGGAUAACAUGUUGAACCGCAUGGUUUAACAGUGAAAGACGGUCUUGCUGUCACUUAUAGAUGGAUCCGCGUCCAAUUAGCUAGUUGGUGAGGUAACGGCCCACCAAGGCGACGAUUGGUAGCCGGACUGAGAGGUUGAACGGCCACAUUGGGACUGAGACACGGCCCAGACUCCUACGGGAGGCAGCAGUGGGGGAUAUUGCACAAUGGGGGAAACCCUGAUGCAGCGACGCCGCGUGGAGGAAGAAGGUUUUCGGAUUGUAAACUCCUGUCGUUAGGGACGAUAAUGACGGUACCUAACAAGAAAGCACCGGCUAACUACGUG